RNAcentral lists this non-coding RNA (30 nucleotides) under Homo sapiens (human). The record is from RNAcentral. Lineage: Eukaryota; Metazoa; Chordata; Mammalia; Primates; Hominidae.
UCACCAAGACGCAGGAGGUGCUGCCAAACA